This 271-nucleotide ribosomal RNA is filed under the name uncultured prokaryote. RNAcentral describes it as "partial 16S ribosomal RNA". It matches the Rfam family "Bacterial small subunit ribosomal RNA", at positions 338 to 623 of the family's 1533-position model. The record is from RNAcentral.
CCAACGGGUGGCUGCAGUGGGGAAUAUUGGGCAAUGGGGGAAACCCUGACCCAGCAACGCCGCGUGAAGGACGAAGGCCUUCGGGUUGUAAACUUCUUUGAUCAGGGACGAAACAAAUGACGGUACCUGAAGAACAAGCCACGGCUAACUACGUGCCAGCAGCCGCGGUAAUACGUAGAGGGCAAGCGUUAUCCGGAUUUAAUGGGGGUAAAGGGCGUGUAGGCGGGUUUGCAAGUCGGAUGUGAAAUUCCCGGGCUUAACUCGGGCAGGU